This is a long non-coding RNA of Magallana angulata, 241 nucleotides long. RefSeq lists it as uncharacterized. The record is from RefSeq and is a predicted model, not a curated record. NCBI's taxonomy places the organism in Eukaryota, Metazoa, Mollusca, Bivalvia, Ostreida, Ostreidae. The transcript is spliced from 2 exons.
CAGUGAACACUUCUCCCUUCGAUUUAAAUACCCAGUCACUAAGAAUUAGAACUCAUUGCUGAAGGCAUUUACAGUAGAUAUCAUUGCUGAAGAAAUCAGAAGGGGACAGUGAACUUGGUUUAGCCAUGGAUAACAUCGAAGAAAAAUUUGCUAAAAUUCAUCAUUAUUGUCUCAUCACCAGGAAGAUGAAAAAGAACCAGUCAGUAUAAAAAGUGCAGAAUUUUGCAAGUACAAUCUGAAU